Octopus sinensis (East Asian common octopus) is the source of this 1054-nucleotide long non-coding RNA. RefSeq lists it as uncharacterized. The record is from RefSeq and is a predicted model, not a curated record. The transcript has 2 exons. Lineage: Eukaryota; Metazoa; Mollusca; Cephalopoda; Octopoda; Octopodidae.
CCACAGAGGGCCUGUGUCAAUUACAACUAGAGCACAGACCAUGUGACAAUUUUUUUUUCUGCUUUCAAAUAAACCCACUUCUAACACCAUGCUUCCACCUGGGUCACUUGCAGACUGAAAGCAGUGAUUAGUGUCCAUCCAUGAGUCUUGGAGAUCCUGUAGAGAAGCUCUGAUCCUCAUUUUACCUUAACAGUUUUUUUAAAGUAAUAAAUAUCCUGGCUUCACAAAAUUACAUUUCAGAUUUUGCUGGGUUUAAUUUUGCUGUAUAUCAGCCAGGCAUCAUGAAAAUUAAUGACAGAAGUUCAUUGUGAUUCAUUCAACUGCCCUUGGUUUCAAAUUUUGCCACAAGGUCAGCAAAAAAUAUUGUCACCUGGUCUGUGCUCUGGUUGUUAUUGACACGGGCUGUCCUGGGGAACCACUUUGGCCUGUACCCUCUGAAAAGCAGUAGGAUUACAUUGAUAAGCCAAAUAAUGGAUCCCAAGCAGAGUCAAUGUACCAUUAUUGCGUUCUUGAGGACAGACAAGUACAGGAUGUUCAAUAUCAACAGAAGGCUGCAAGUUAUUUACAUCAUUGACAAACUCAGAUGGAUGUAGAAGUUUAAAGAAGUAGGAACUGACGUUGAAGAUUACCCACAUAAUAAAAGAAAUUAGCUGUGACUACUGACAUAGAUUGCCAGUGAGUGGACAAACUGAUUUGUGCAAACAGAUAAGUUACGAUCUAUGUUCUUGCUGUGUAACUGGACUGUGACCACAAUAUGUUACAGAAGAUGGUAGAAGACUAUGGGUAUCAAAACCCCUUGGCAGAUAAUACCUGAUCUGAGGGAAAAAAGAGGGUAAGUGCUGAGGCUAACGAAGUUACUUUUUCCCAAUCUGAGAGAAGAGGAUGAAACAUGGGUGUAGCUUUAUGAUGAAAGCUUAGUAUAUGGAAUGGUGUCACAGUCCUUCUCUAAGGUCUCCGAAGUUCAAGAGUAAUUAACACAAAAAAUAUUUUGGGGAAUGAUAAAGGCAUCAUUUUCCUUGAUUUUCUUGAAUGUGGCUACACUGUAUACAAAAAA